This 1292-nucleotide long non-coding RNA is filed under the name Phoenix dactylifera (date palm). Its description in RNAcentral is "long non-coding RNA (PDAC_LNC015042)". The record is from RNAcentral. Lineage: Eukaryota; Viridiplantae; Streptophyta; Magnoliopsida; Arecales; Arecaceae.
GUAAAUCUCUAAAUUUUUUCCAAGUUUCAUGAAAUUCUUCCCCAUCAGAUUGGGAGAAGCUCGUGAUAGCACGCCUAAAUUGGUUUGUUCUUCUUAUGAAAAAAUAUUUCUUCAGAAAUUCAUGUUGCAUUUGAGCCCAUGAAAGAAUGGAAUUGGCUUCUAAUGAAUGGAGCCACUGCUUAGCUCUAUCCUUAAGAGAAAAAGGGAAUAGUCUAAGUUUCAGAGCAUCAUCAGUAAAGUUCUGAAUUUUGACAGUGGUGCAGAUCUCAAGGAACUCAUCUAAAUAUUUGUAUGGGUCUUCAUUGUUAAGUCCAUAAAAAAAGGAAGCAUUUGGAUGACACUAGACUUAAUCUCAAACUGUACAGCAGCAGUGGUAUCAGGUAGUCGAAUACAAGAUGGAGAGGUAUAAAUGGAAGGAGUGAAGUACUCCUUUAACAGCUUGGGUUGUUCUUCAGCCAUCUCGAUAGGUGGAGCAGAUCCUAUGGUUCUAUAGGUGCGGAUUUCAGCUCGAAGGGCCCUAAUAGAACGCUCUAUCUCAGAAUCAAAAGGUACUAAUUCAGAAGAUCUGGACCGACACCCUAGCAUACACUAAUAUUUUUCUAAUCAGUCAAGUGCGGUAAAUCAUGCAUUAAAAGAAAAACACAUCAAUUCCUUAUGUUUACCCUAAAAUCACUAGACAGCUCCUAACUGGUUUGAAGAGGGCAUCUAAGCCUCCAAUCUGGUCUAAUGAACUGAGUUGACCAGGUAAGCUCCCAGGUAAGUGGGGGGGUCACGAUUCGUUCGCAAAGGUCCCACUUAAAAAUCACUUGCCUCGAACAGAUGAACUGUCUCCCUUAAAGGGACAAAGAUUGCCUAGACAUCAGCUGAGCCACAGAGCGAAAUUGGUGUAACUUUCGGUGAUCUUCGUCCUAUUGAGCUCGAAUGUCCCUAGGAGCCAACGUCUAAUUGAUUUUAAUUAAAGUGAUAGCUAUGUGUGAAUUGGUUCACCUAAUUUGGGCAAGAAUCUGGUGAUGAAAUCCAGUUCUUAUCUUGUUGGGGUGAUUGCCCUUACUAUGUGCGGAUUAAUUGGUGUAUGUGUAUCAAGCAUGCAUUCACACUUUUACUGAACUUAAAAUCAAACAAUCACCACAAAAUUUCAAGCAAACUGGGAAUCAAUUUAAAUAAGAAAGGUUUAGAGGUUACCAACGGGAAUUUUCCCAGCAAAUUUUUUUUUAUUUUUAGGCAAACCUCUACAGCAUUCCUUUUUCAGCAGUUUCCUUUUUGAUCGUCCCAGAUUUCCUCUUUCAUUUCUG